This 241-nucleotide ribosomal RNA is filed under the name uncultured bacterium. Its description in RNAcentral is "partial 16S ribosomal RNA". It matches the Rfam family "Bacterial small subunit ribosomal RNA", at positions 118 to 347 of the family's 1533-position model. The record is from RNAcentral.
UGGGUAACCUGCCUCAAAGAGGGGAAUAGCCUCCCGAAAGGGAGAUUAAUACCGCAUAAUAUGUUUAAGUCGCAUGACUUUAACAUCAAAGGAUUUUUCUUUUAGAAAUUCCACUUUGAGAUGGACCCGCGGUGCAUUAGCUAGUUGGUGAGGUAACGGCUCACCAAGGCAACGAUGCGUAGCCGACCUGAGAGGUGAUCGGCCACAUUGGAACUGAGACACGGUCCAGACUCCGUAGGAG